ACGCUCGACACCUACGGGAGCCAGCAGUGGGGAAUAUUGCACAAUGGGGGAAACCCUGAUGCAGCGACGCCGCGUGAGCGAAGAAGUAUUUCGGUAUGUAAAGCUCUAUCAGCAGGGAAGAAGAAAGACGGUACCUGACUAAGAAGCCCCGGCUAACUACGUGCCAACAGCCGCGGUAAUCUGAGCGGGCUGGCAAGGC
Molecule: ribosomal RNA, 199 nt
Filed under: uncultured bacterium
Lineage: Bacteria
Description: partial 16S ribosomal RNA
Rfam family: Bacterial small subunit ribosomal RNA
Source: RNAcentral